This 72-nucleotide transfer RNA is filed under the name Camelus bactrianus (Bactrian camel). It matches the Rfam family "tRNA". From Rfam's summary of the family: Transfer RNA (tRNA) molecules are approximately 80 nucleotides in length. RNAcentral also lists the same sequence under 2 other names. The record is from Rfam by way of RNAcentral. Lineage: Eukaryota; Metazoa; Chordata; Mammalia; Artiodactyla; Camelidae.
GAGGGUAUAGCUCAGUUGGUAGAGUGCUAGCUUCACAUGCAUGAGGUCCUGAGUUCAGUCCCAGUACCUCCA